RNAcentral lists this ribosomal RNA (421 nucleotides) under uncultured bacterium. Its description in RNAcentral is "bacterial SSU rRNA". It matches the Rfam family "Bacterial small subunit ribosomal RNA", at positions 357 to 774 of the family's 1533-position model. The record is from RNAcentral.
AGGAAUAUUGGUCAAUGGGCGCGAGCCUGAACCAGCCAAGUAGCGUGAAGGAUGAAGGUCCUAUGGAUUGUAAACUUCUUUUAUAGCAGAAUAAAGUGACCCACGUGUGGGUUUUUGUAUGUAUGCUAUGAAUAAGGAUCGGCUAACUACGUGCCAGCAGCCGCGGUAAUACGGAGGAUCCGAGCGUUCUCCGGAUUUAUUGGGUUUAAAGGGUGCGUAGGCGGAAAGAUAAGUCAGCGUGUGAAAGUUUGCGGCUCAACCGUAAAAUUGCAGUUGAUACUGUUUUUCUUGAGUGUACAUAAGGUAGGCGGAAUUCGUGGUGUAGCGGUGAAAUGGUUAGAUAUCACGAAGAACUCCGAUUGCGAAGGCAGCUUACCGGGGUACAACUGACGCUGAUGCACGAAAGUGUGGGUAUCAAACA